Molecule: long non-coding RNA, 1001 nt
Organism: Bombus terrestris (buff-tailed bumblebee)
Lineage: Eukaryota; Metazoa; Arthropoda; Insecta; Hymenoptera; Apidae
Exons: 4
Source: RefSeq, a predicted model, not a curated record
AUACCUUUUGUCGUAUUUAUAUCUACUAUUGCAAAACGGUACAAUGCACGCACGAGACAUCUUAUCAUAAAUUUUUCUCACAAUCAUAGUCACGAUCGUAUAUUCCACUCGUUUUUCCUUUAUGUUCGAAUGUAUGGCGGCCUAGUAACAGUUUCUGUUGCCUGUCGCAUAGCGGCGUAGUUGUUGCCGGACUGUAGUGCAGCAUUCGUUAAGACAUUUUCAAUCUUAAGUCGUCUUUCAUAAACGGUUUGUCUUUUGUGGUUUAUAAAAUAUCGGUAUAACAUAUAUUUUUCACAGUGCUUAAUUUACAGCGUGCAUUCACUGGUCAACGCUUUACGUAAUAAAUUAUUUCGUUGCUGCGCACAUAAAAUGAAAGUCACGAUAAAAAUUUUCGUUACCAUUUAAUCGUGUAGAUUAAAUCACGAACCGCUAGAUACAGAAGUAAACAAUCGUAAACAUUUUUUAAGGUUGGACUGGUGUUGCCACCUGGCGUUGGAUAGCAAACGAUGACAAUUGCGGUAUAUGUAGAAUGCCUUUUGAUGCAAGUUGUCCAGACUGUAGGAUUCCCGGAGACGAUUGUCCUUUAGAAACGAAAGUAAUAAGGAAAAUAGCGUAGAGAAAAGGUGGAUGAGAAACGACGAGGGUUCGAUAGAGCGAAGGUUUGUAAAAUGCCGCGACAGCGUUUGCGCAGCUGUAGACAUUAAUAUCGAUCGGUGUGCCGAAUGAAACGGAUCGCUCGCACACGAUACCUCACGUUCUGACGCGCGCGUACUCGCGCGUGUCAAUGUAAACUCAACAAAGUCUGGUGAUUACCGGUGGUCAUCGAUAACAUAAAGUUUUGGGGCCAAUGCUCGCAUUGCUUCCACAUACACUGCAUCAUGAAGUGGUUGAAUACUCAUCAAACCAGGCAUCUCUGUCCGAUGUGUCGUCAAGAAUGGAAGUUCAAGGAGUAGUUGGUUUGCCGAUAGUCCCGCAGGUGUCAGCACGCAACGAGUAAUCAG